This 30-nucleotide non-coding RNA is filed under the name Mus musculus (house mouse). The record is from RNAcentral. Lineage: Eukaryota; Metazoa; Chordata; Mammalia; Rodentia; Muridae.
UGAACCAUGAUAACCUUUUUGCCUAUUUGU